CGCGAAUGGCUCAUUACAACAGCCAAAUUUUACUGGAAUAUAGUUAUCUUACUUGGAUAACUGUGGCAAUUCUAGAGCUAAUACAUGCAAAAAAGCUCUGACCGCAAGGAACGAGCGCAUUUAUUAGAAUAAAAACCAAUCGGGUUUCGGCCCGUUUAUUGGUGAAUCUGGAUAACUUUGCCAAUCGCACAGUCCUAGUACUGGCGAUGUAUCCUUCAAAUGUCUGCCUUAUCAACUUUCGAUGGUAGGUUAUACGCCUACCAUGGUAUUAACGGGUAACGGAGAAUAAGGGUUCGACUCCGGAGAGGGGGCCUGAGAAACGGCUACCACAUCCAAGGAAGGCAGCAGGCGCGCAAAUUACCCACUUUCAGAACGAAGAGGUAGUGACGAAAAAUAACGAGACAGUCCUCUUCGAGGUCUGUCAUCGGAAUGGGUACAAUUUAAAUCCUUUAACGAGGAUCUAUUGGAGGGCAAGUCUGGUGCCAGCAGCCGCGGUAAUUCCAGCU
This 506-nucleotide ribosomal RNA is filed under the name Calcaridorylaimus castaneae. Its description in RNAcentral is "SSU rRNA". It matches the Rfam family "Eukaryotic small subunit ribosomal RNA", at positions 88 to 590 of the family's 1831-position model. Lineage: Eukaryota; Metazoa; Nematoda; Enoplea; Dorylaimida; Dorylaimidae. The record is from RNAcentral.